RNAcentral lists this ribosomal RNA (253 nucleotides) under uncultured bacterium. RNAcentral's name for it is "partial 16S ribosomal RNA". It matches the Rfam family "Bacterial small subunit ribosomal RNA", at positions 524 to 776 of the family's 1533-position model. The record is from RNAcentral.
UACGUAGGGUGCGAGCGUUAAUCGGAAUUACUGGGCGUAAAGCGUGCGCAGGCGGUUUGCUAAGACCGAUGUGAAAUCCCCGGGCUCAACCUGGGAACUGCAUUGGUGACUGGCAGGCUAGAGUAUGGCAGAGGGGGGUAGAAUUCCACGUGUAGCAGUGAAAUGCGUAGAGAUGUGGAGGAACACCGAUGGCGAAGGCAGCCCCCUGGGUCAAGAUUGACGCUCAUGCACGAAAGCGUGGGGAGCAAACAGG